This 482-nucleotide ribosomal RNA is filed under the name uncultured bacterium. RNAcentral describes it as "partial 16S ribosomal RNA". It matches the Rfam family "Bacterial small subunit ribosomal RNA", at positions 30 to 507 of the family's 1533-position model. The record is from RNAcentral.
AUUGAACGCUGGCGGCACGCUUUACACAUGCAAGUCGAACGGUAGCAGGCCGCAAGGUGCUGACGAGUGGCGAACGGGUGAGUAAUGCAUCGGAACGUGCCCAGUCGUGGGGGAUAACUACUCGAAAGAGUAGCUAAUACCGCAUACGAUCUAUGGAUGAAAGCGGGGGACCGUAAGGCCUCGCGCGAUUGGAGCGGCCGAUGUCAGAUUAGGUAGUUGGUGGGGUAAAGGCUCACCAAGCCAACGAUCUGUAGCUGGUCUGAGAGGACGACCAGCCACACUGGGACUGAGACACGGCCCAGACUCCUACGGGAGGCAGCAGUGGGGAAUUUUGGACAAUGGGCGCAAGCCUGAUCCAGCAAUGCCGCGUGCAGGAAGAAGGCCUUCGGGUUGUAAACUGCUUUUGUACGGAACGAAACGGCUCUGGUUAAUACCCGGGGCUAAUGACGGUACCGUAAGAAUAAGCACCGGCUAACUACGUG